AUUGAACGCUGGCGGCGGGCCUAACACAUGCAAGUCGAGCGGAUGAGGGGAGCUUGCUCCUGGAUUCAGCGGCGGACGGGUGAGUAAUGCCUAGGAAUCUGCCUGGUAGUGGGGGAUAACGUCCGGAAACGGGCGCUAAUACCGCAUACGUCCUGAGGGAGAAAGUGGGGGAUCUUCGGACCUCACGCUAUCAGAUGAGCCUAGGUCGGAUUAGCUAGUUGGUGGGGUAAAGGCCUACCAAGGCGACGAUCCGUAACUGGUCUGAGAGGAUGAUCAGUCACACUGGAACUGAGACACGGUCCAGACUCCUACGGGAGGCAGCAGUGGGGAAUAUUGGACAAUGGGCGAAAGCCUGAUCCAGUCAUGCCGCGUGUGUGAAGAAGGUCUUCGGAUUGUAAAGCACUUUAAGUUGGGAGGAAGGGCAGUAAGUUAAUACCUUGCUGUUUUGACGUUACCAACAGAAUAAGCACCGGCUAACUUCGUG
RNAcentral lists this ribosomal RNA (484 nucleotides) under uncultured bacterium. Its description in RNAcentral is "partial 16S ribosomal RNA". It matches the Rfam family "Bacterial small subunit ribosomal RNA", at positions 30 to 507 of the family's 1533-position model. The record is from RNAcentral.